RNAcentral lists this ribosomal RNA (200 nucleotides) under uncultured prokaryote. Its description in RNAcentral is "partial 16S ribosomal RNA". It matches the Rfam family "Bacterial small subunit ribosomal RNA", at positions 1182 to 1382 of the family's 1533-position model. The record is from RNAcentral.
AUGUCAAAUCAUCAUGCCCCUUAUGUCUUGGGCGUCACACGUGCUACAAUGGCCCCUACAGAGUGACGCGAUGCCGCGAGGCGGAGCAAACCACGAAAAGGGGUCCCAGUUCGGAUUGCAGGCUGCAACCCGCCUGCAUGAAGCCGGAAUCGCUAGUAAUCGCGGAUCAGCACGCCGCGGUGAAUACGUUCCCGGGUCUU